This is a non-coding RNA of Corchorus olitorius, 46 nucleotides long. NCBI's taxonomy places the organism in Eukaryota, Viridiplantae, Streptophyta, Magnoliopsida, Malvales, Malvaceae. The record is from Rfam.
CUAAAGGAUUUUUUUAAAUCCAAAUAGUUAAAGGUUUAAGCAUAAU